This 352-nucleotide unclassified non-coding RNA is filed under the name soil metagenome. RNAcentral's name for it is "partial contains 5.8S ribosomal RNA, internal transcribed spacer 2, and large subunit ribosomal RNA". The stretch from base 1 to 120 matches the Rfam family "5.8S ribosomal RNA", at positions 35 to 154 of the family's 154-position model. The record is from RNAcentral.
GAUGAAGAACGUAGCGAAAUGCGAUAAGUGAUGUGAAUUGCAGAAUUCAGUGAAUCAUCGAAUCUUUGAACGCACAUUGCGCCCGCCAGUAUUCUGGCGGGCAUGCCUGUUCGAGCGUCAUUACAACCCUCAGGCCCCCGGGCCUGGCGUUGGGGAUCGGCGGAGCCCCCCGUGGGCACACGCCGUCCCCCAAAUGCAGUGGCGGUCCCGCCGCAGCUUCCAUCGCGUAGUAGCUAACACCUCGCGACUGGAGAGCGGCGCGGCCACGCCGUAAAACACCCAACUCUUCUGAAGUUGACCUCGAAUCAGGUAGGAAUACCCGCUGAACUUAAGCAUAUCAAUAAGCGGAGGA